CAACAGUGUAUGCUAAAGUUGUUGCGGUUGAAAGCUCGUAGUUGGAUUUUGGGCGGGCGCAACCGGUCCGUCGCAGGGCGUGUCACUGGUUGCGUUCGCCUCACCUUCGGUUCUCCGUCGGUGCUCUUGACUGAGUGUCGGCGGUGGCCGAUAAGUUUACUUUGAAAAAUUAGAGUGUUCAAAGCAGGCUGCUCGCCUGCAUAGUGUUGCAUGGAAUAAUGGAAUAGGACCUCGGUUCUAUUUUGUUGGUUUUCGGAGCGCGAGGUAAUGAUUAAGAGGGACAGACGGGGGCGGUCCGUACUCUGCCGUUCAGUAGGGUGAAAAUUGCUUAUGGUAGUUCCGGGCCGGGAAAGACGAAACUACUGCGAAAGCAUUCGCCAAGAAUGUUUUCUUUAAUCAAGAGCGAAAGUCAGAGGUUUGAAGACGAUCAGAU
This 433-nucleotide ribosomal RNA is filed under the name uncultured eukaryote. Its description in RNAcentral is "bacterial SSU rRNA". It matches the Rfam family "Eukaryotic small subunit ribosomal RNA", at positions 592 to 1013 of the family's 1831-position model. The record is from RNAcentral.